CGGUACUCUUGUUUCGAAAUUUGCCAUUGGUCUUGCAAUUCUGCGCAUUCUGAUGUAAACCAUUGUUUUCUUUGCCCAAACAAAAAAAAAAAGCACCAUGUACCAAACGGUUGUAAUGCAUAGCUGAAGUUUGUCAACUUUCUUAUAGAUGGUGACUCAAAUGAGGUUUUUGCUGAAGGGCCAGCUCGGCCAACUGGGGGUGAUGCUGCUAUUGCAAUGUUGAUUGGACCAAAUUCUCCAAUUUCUUUAGAGAGUCUAUACGGGGGAACUCACAUGGCUCAUGUUUGUGACUUUUGCAAGCCAAACCUUGCAAGCGAAUACCUGGUGUUGUUGAUGGGAAAGUAUCACAAACAUGCUAUCUCAUGGGACUUUUGAUUUAUGCUACAAACGUUGCUGCAGCAAAUGAGUUCGAAUAUAUUAUAUUGUCUAUAUUCGGAGGAGGGUCUUCUUUUAAUCGGGAGCUUGAAAAGGCAUGCAUGUGUCCUUUUGCAUUUCUUUUAGUCCUCGUGGCCAUCGUCGUUAUUUCCUCUCAUGUAUGCUCAUUCUUACUCUCGUUAAACUGUUCGGGCUUCUCACCAUCUUGGUAUGAUGCAAAAGUCCAACCAUCAUCUACUUCGUUAAUAUGUACACAGCUUGUCUUUAUGCCACAUUUGCGUCUGUGAUUCAUAACAAACAUAGCACUCUGGGUGAUUUUGCUGUUUCCUUUCCU
Molecule: non-coding RNA, 709 nt
Organism: Musa acuminata subsp. malaccensis (wild Malaysian banana)
Lineage: Eukaryota; Viridiplantae; Streptophyta; Magnoliopsida; Zingiberales; Musaceae
Source: RefSeq, a predicted model, not a curated record